CAUAGGCCCCAUAGAACCCCAUAGGCCCCUAUAGAACCCCAUAGGCCCCUAUAGAGCCCCAUAGGCCCCUAUAGGCCGCAAUGGGCCUCACCUCGGCGAUGCGCUGCCGUAGCAGCUCCAUGUGCUCCCGUUGCCGCUCCCGUUUCUUCAUGAGCUGCAGCGCCCGCCCCGCUUCACUCGCCGCUCCCUUGUACUGCGCCAUCUUGGAUCCAGUACCGACACCGGAAACCGGAACCGGAAAUAACACACCCCCCUCUUAUAGCCUUAAGUGCGUCAUUUACGUGCGACGCGAUGGGAGUGGGAAGCGGAAGUGCGUCAUUAAAGUGAGACGCGACGAGGGGUCGGAAGCGGAAGUAGCUUCUGAAGCGGAAGUGCGUCAUUACUGAGACCCUUUCCCUAUAACGACAUCCCAUUGGAGGAGCUGUUGGUUUGGGCCCCGCCCACUUCCGGUGGCUUUAUCCAAUAGGAAGGAAGGAUUUGUCCCCGCCCCCUUUCCCGUGGCUUUAUCCAAUCAGAGUGAGUCCCUUUUUAUCCCCGCCCACUUCCGAUCUGAUUAUCCAAUCAGAGUGGCUCCUUUUGUCCCGCCCUUUUCCAGUGGCUUUAUCCAAUCAGAACGCAGCCUUUUAGCCCCGCCCCUCUUUUUGCCUUCAUCCAAUCGAAUCACAGCAUCCCAUUUAAGCCCCGCCCCUCCACCCAACGGGCUCCUCUGAUUGGACGAAUCGCCCUUUGGCUCCACCCACUUUUAGCCCCGCCUCCUCCCCCUUAAUGGCCUUCUCCGAUUGGUCGAUGUCCCGUCCCGUCCCCGUUAUUUGAUUGGAUCGUUUCCCUUUAGCCCCGCCCACUUGGGGCGGCUUUUAUUGGACACGGCACACAAUAAAUAGGGGGAGGGGCGAUAGGGGGCGCUAUAGGGCACACAUAGGGAUCUAUGGGGCACAUAUGGGGGUCUAUGGGGCACACAUAUGGGGUCUAUGGGGCACACAUAGGGAUCUAUGGGGCACAUAUGGAGUCUAUGGGGCACAUAUGGGGGUCUAUGGGGUAGAUAUGGGGCACAUAUGGGGCAGCUAUGGGGCACAUAUGGGGCACAUAUGGGGCACAUAUGGGGGUCUAUGGGGCACAUAUGGGGGUCUAUGGGGCAGAUAUGGGGCAGAACCCAGCUGUCUAUGGGGCAGACUGGCUAUGGGGCAGCUAUUGGGGCACGUAUGGGGCAGAUAUGGGGGUCUAUGGGGCGCUAUGGGGCAGACCCAGCAAGUCUAUGGGGCAGCCCUAUGGGUCUGGCUAUGGGGCAGCCCCACAGAUCCCUCUAUGGGGCAGCCCUAUUGGUCCCGCUAUGGGGCAGCCCCACAGAUCCCCAUCUCUAGGUCCCGCUAUGGGCAGCCCCACAUCUCCCCCCAUUACUUCCCCUAUGGGUACAUGCAAUGUGGUCCCACUAUGGGUCCUGGCUAUGGGUCCUGCUAUGGUCUGGCUAUGGGGCAGCCCCACAGAUCCCCCUCUAUAGGUCCCGCUAUGGGUCUGGCUAUGGGCAGCCCCACAGAUCCCACUAUAGGUCCCACUAUGGGCAGCCCUAUGGGUCUGGCUAUGGGGCAGCCCCACAGAUCCCACUAUAGGUCCCACUAUGGGGCAGCCCUAUGGGUCUGGCUAUGGGGCAGCCCUAUGGGUCCUGCUAUGGGUCCAUCUAUGGGUCAGCCCCACAUCUCCCCCCAUUACUCCCCUAUGGGCACAUGCAAUGUGGGUCCCCGUGGGUCAUCGAAUCGAUCCAUGGGGCGGAGGCGGAGCAGCAGCGCCCCCCCAUGGACAGACACCGCCAUCAACAGCAGCGACCAGCAGCAGCCCCAUAGAGGAACCCACAGAUAGAAAGGAAGAGCAAUCGAGGCACCCAAAAAGCCAAGCCGGAUACAUUUGAAAUGGCUGCACCUAAAGGAAGGGGAGAGGGUUCAUUAGUGCCCAUUAAUUAGUUAAUUAGCGCUAAUUAAGAGCCGUUAAUUAGGCAAUCAAUGGACCCCCCCUUCCCCUCUGAAAUGAAUGAGGAGCAAUCUGAGGCCCCCCAACAAUGAAGGCCUGGAUACAUUGAAUGGCUGCACCUAAAGGAAGGGGAAGAGGGUUCAUUAGUGCCCGGUAAUUAUUAAUUAGCGCUAAUUAAGACCCAUUAAUUAGCAAUGAUUGGACCCCCCCCCCCUCUUCCAUUGAAAUGAAUGAGGAGCAAUCUGAGGCCCCAAACAAUGAAGCCUGGACACAUUGAAUGGCUGCACCUAAAGGAAGGGGAAGAGGGUUCAUUAGUGCCCGUAAUUUAGUUAAUUAGCGCUAAUUAAAAACCCAUUAAUUAGGCAAUCAAUGGGACCCCCCCCCCUUCUCCCAUUGAGAUGAAUGAAGUCUGAUGCCCCCCCCAAAGCAAAGGCCGGACACAAUUGAAUGGCUGCACCUAAAGGAAGGGGAGAGGGUUCAUUAAUACCCAGUAAUUAGUUAAUUAGUCCUAAUUAAGACCAUUAAUUAGGCAAUAUCAAUGGACCCCCCCCCCCCUUCCCCCAUUGAAAUGAAUGCAAUCUGAUGACCCCAAUAAUGAGGCCUGGAUGAGGCCCCCAACAAUGAAGCCUGGACCACAUUGAAUGGCUGCACCUAAAGGAAGGGGAGAGGGUUCAUUAGUGCCCAGUAAUUUAGUUAAUUAGCGCUAAUUAAGACCCAUUAAUUAGGCAAUCAAUGGACCCCCCCCCUCUUCCCAUUGAGAUGAAUGCAAUCUGAGGACCCCCAUAAUGGAGCCUGGAUGAGGCCCCCCAACAAUGAAGCCUGGGAUACAUUGAAUGGCUGCACCUAAAGGAAGGGGAGAGAUUCAUUAGUGCCGGUAAUUAGUUAAUUAGUCCUAAUUAAGACCCAUUAAUUAGCGAAUGAAUGGACCGCCCCCCCCCCUUCCCCCAUUGAGAUGAAUGAAGACUGAGGACCCCCCAUUGAAAUGAAUGAAGUCUGAUGCCCCCCCAAAAGCGAAGGCCGGACACAUUGAAUGGCUGCACCUAAAGGAAGGGGAGAGGGUUCAUUAGUGCCCGUAAUUAUUUAAUUAGCGCUAAUUAAGAGCCAUUAAUUAGGCAAUCAAUGGACCCCCCCCCCCUGCUCCCCCAUUGAGAUGAAUGAAGUCUGAGGACCCCCAUUGAAAUGACAUGAAGUCUGAUGCCCCCCCCAAAGCGAAGGUCGGACACAUUGAAUGGCUGCACCUAAAGGAAGGGGAAGGAUUAAUUAUACCCCAGUAAUUAGUUAAUUAGUCCUAAUUAAGACCCAUUAAUUAGGCAUUGAAUGGACCCCCCCCCCCUCUUCCCAUUGAAAUGAAUGAAGGAGCAAUCUGAGGCCCCCCCAACAAUUGAAGCCUGGACACAUUGAAUGGCUGCACCUUAAAGGAAGGGGAAAGGAUUCAUUAGUGCCGUAAUUAGUUAAUUAGCGCUAAUUAAGACCCAUUAAUUAAGGCAAUCAAUUGACCCCCCCCCCCCGUCCUCCCAUUGAAAUGAAGAAGUCUGAUGCCCCCCCAAAGCGAAGGCCGACACAUUGAAUGGCUGCACCUAAAGGAAGGGAGAGGGUUCAUUAGUGCCCAUUAAUUAGUUAAUUAGCGCUAAUUAAGACCCAUUAAUUAGGCAAUCAAUGCCCCCCCCCCCCCUCUCCAUUGAAAUAAAUGCAAUCUGAGACCCA
Coturnix japonica (Japanese quail) is the source of this 3663-nucleotide long non-coding RNA. The record is from Ensembl. Lineage: Eukaryota; Metazoa; Chordata; Aves; Galliformes; Phasianidae.